Molecule: non-coding RNA, 1147 nt
Organism: Heterocephalus glaber (naked mole-rat)
Lineage: Eukaryota; Metazoa; Chordata; Mammalia; Rodentia; Bathyergidae
Source: RefSeq, a predicted model, not a curated record
ACCUGUUUCAAAAUUUAAAAAAUAAAAAGUGGGCUGGGAAUACAGCUUAGUGGCAGAAUAAAAAUUAUUUUUAAAGUUUACUAUCUUAAAGUCAUUCAAAAUCUUUUGAGAAAAAAAUUUUAAACUGUUUUGUAUCGCCUUAUCAUCCAUCACCUAUUGAUUCCAUUAUGGAGAUUAAUUCUAAAAGAAUUAGAAAAGUAGAUAAUGAUAACAUCUACUUUUGUAUUUGUCUUAGUCACUUUCUUUUGUUAAGACACAAUCUCCAACAUCCACAACUUAAGGAAGCAGAGGUUUAUUUUGGCUCACAGUCUAUAGAAGUUUCAGUCCACAGUCCAUUGGCUCCAAAGAAAGUCGGCAUGGCAGAAAGGCAUAGCAGAAGAGAACUGCUCAAAAUGGCCAGAAAGCAGAGAAAAUAAGUCAAUGCUGAAUAGUAAAAUACUGGAUUGAAGAAGGAGGACUGGAAUACUAGGCCUACCUGGAAUGGGAAGUAAAUGGAAGCAAAGAUGCUGAGAUUUAUGGUUCUUCAACACCAAAAACUAUGUCAGAACUUUCACUAUUGCUACAGUGGCCCUGGGCAAACUUCAAAUGAAAGCAGUCUUUCUGACUUUCUGCCUCCUGUCUUCACACUUCUUCAGACUCAGAUGCCAACAUUCCUGGAGGACUGUUCCCAACUAUUUUUUUAUCAGAUUACUGAUACUAAGUACUAAUACCAAAGUUAUCACCUCACAGAUUACUUGCCAAACGCAAAAAGAAAUCUGUAAUGGAAAGCCUGUCCCCAUCUUACCAAAGAGAUCAAAUUUAGGGUUACUAAUAGACAACUCUGCUUUAUGUAUUUUCUCAUGUUGGGUACUAUGAAGAACACUAAAUCCACACCUCAAUCUACUUAAGACUCUCCCUCUCAACUUCAAGUUUACAGAAAAAUACAAGGGAUAGCAGGAAGAAUUUAAACAUGAAGAGGAACUACCACUAAAUACUGUAUAGAAUGUGGGUUCUUCUACAAGAUUAAUGACUUAAUCUCUUUAAAAGGUUGUCAUUUUUAAAAAAAGGAAGGAAGGAAAAGAAAAAAGAUUAAAUUAAAAGAGACCAAGACAAACAAAUGUAAUAAAAGCUCCAGGUUCUAAAGUGAGUAAAAAUGACUUUUUGUGGA